UUGAACGCUGGCGGCAUGCCUUACACAUGCAAGUCGAACGGUAACAGGUCUUCGGAUGCUGACGAGUGGCGAACGGGUGAGUAAUACAUCGGAACGUGCCCGAUCGUGGGGGAUAACGCAGCGAAAGCUGUGCUAAUACCGCAUACGAUCUACGGAUGAAAGCAGGGGACCGCAAGGCCUUGCGCGGACGGAGCGGCCGAUGGCAGAUUAGGUAGUUGGUGGGAUAAAAGCUUACCAAGCCGACGAUCUGUAGCUGGUCUGAGAGGACGACCAGCCACACUGGGACUGAGACACGGCCCAGACUCCUACGGGAGGCAGCAGUGGGGAAUUUUGGACAAUGGGGGAAACCCUGAUCCAGCCAUGCCGCGUGCAGGAUGAAGGCCUUCGGGUUGUAAACUGCUUUUGUACGGAACGAAAAGGCUCUGGUGAAUACCUGGGGCUCAUGACGGUACCGUAAGAAUAAGCACCGGCUAACUACGU
This 480-nucleotide ribosomal RNA is filed under the name uncultured bacterium. RNAcentral's name for it is "bacterial SSU rRNA". It matches the Rfam family "Bacterial small subunit ribosomal RNA", at positions 30 to 506 of the family's 1533-position model. The record is from RNAcentral.